Molecule: long non-coding RNA, 1224 nt
Filed under: Brassica rapa (field mustard)
Lineage: Eukaryota; Viridiplantae; Streptophyta; Magnoliopsida; Brassicales; Brassicaceae
Description: long non-coding RNA (BRAP_LNC004217)
Source: RNAcentral
UCUCGCAUCAGUCCUACCACAUUGAUAAAAUUCUUAUAUAGUUUCUUGGGGGGAGUCACAUUGCUUGAUCUUAGAAACAAACUAAAGCAACUUUUUCUCUUGAGUGGUCACCUCACAACACAAUAAAGAUCAUAUUUCAAAAUCAACAUUGUCAGAUGAAUCUACUAUUGAGUUUACAUUUUAACCUAUUUCGUUUCUAAUCAACAUGAACCUGGUAAACUUAGGUAACAUAUGAAAUGACAAUUCUCCAACAUAAACCGAUGUCCUAUAAUUAUCUCACAAAUUCAGCUAUAAUAUUUUAUAAGAAAAGACUUUUGAUUUAGUAUACAAUGUAUACAACAGAGACAACUAUAAGACAAUGUGAAUGGGGCAAGGCGUUGGGGUCCUUUUUGUGCUACAAUGUUUCCCACUAUUGUGAACAACCUAACAUGGACUCUUCUUGCAUCAAAAUUGUACUACUCUCAUUUAUUUAUUUUAUAAAUUGAGAAAAAGGAAACUAAAGGUGAGCACUAAAAGUCGUGGUGUCUUAGGUGCAGGAGGUCGAGAUUAUCGCGUGGCGGGCUAUGGGCAGCAGCGACUAUUUCCGAUCAUUGGCCUCUACUAAGUCUUAAAAUUUGCUAAGUUAAUUCUCUUAUGGCUCUUGGGCAGUUGGUAGUCUUUUAUAGAUUAAGUUUCGGCUUGGAUCCUUUUGUUUUGUUUGCCGUAAGUUGCCCCGGUGUGGGUUCUAGUUGCCGCCUUCAUGUGGGCUUUUGUGUCUGGGGAUUGUUCAUGCAUCCGCCGGUUUAUGUAUUGAAUCAUGUAUGUUUCUUUUGAAUGAUAAGUACUUUUGCGGAAAAAAAAAAAAGGUGAGCACUAAAAGUCAUAAAAGAAUUCCAAGAAUCCCAUGUAAAAUUAUUUAUUUAAAAGCAACUCACUGUUCUUUUCUUUUUUUUUCUCGCUUUCUUUAGCUUCCUAUUUCUUUUACUGAAAUCUCAUUAAUAUUUGCAAAUAACAAAUGUGAAAGAUAUUGGCGAGAUACAUUGCUGGCAGGUUACAAACUUCUUGAGAUAAAACCCCAUUAAAACGAGAGGACGUCCCCAACCCAGAAAAACUAUUAAAAACUAAAACAAUAAAAAAUGAAAUACUAUUAUUUUGAAAAUAGUGAUAAAAGGCUAUUUUGACCCUUCUCCCAUCUUUUAAUGGCUUUUAUCAGAUUCAGACCACAUGCCAACAAAGAAGUAUGGU